CACGUCAGCGCGCUUUGCUGACGUGGCCAGACUUGCCAUCCUCGAGGGGGCGAUUUGUUGCCGCGUCAGCAAAGCGCGCUGACGUGG
Gossypium raimondii (Peruvian cotton) is the source of this 87-nucleotide microRNA precursor. It matches the Rfam family "MIR7486 microRNA precursor family". The record is from Rfam. Lineage: Eukaryota; Viridiplantae; Streptophyta; Magnoliopsida; Malvales; Malvaceae.